Molecule: ribosomal RNA, 783 nt
Filed under: Halomonas sp. 2066
Lineage: Bacteria; Pseudomonadati; Pseudomonadota; Gammaproteobacteria; Oceanospirillales; Halomonadaceae
Description: bacterial SSU rRNA
Rfam family: Bacterial small subunit ribosomal RNA
Source: RNAcentral
CAUGCAGUCGAGCGGUAACAGAUCUAGCUUGCUACAUGCUGACGAGCGGCGGACGGGUGAGUAAUGCAUAGGAAUCUGCCCGGUAGUGGGGGAUAACCUGGGGAAACCCAGGCUAAUACCGCAUACGUCCUACGGGAGAAAGGGGGCUUCGGCUCCCGCUAUUGGAUGAGCCUAUGUCGGAUUAGCUAGUUGGUGAGGUAAAGGCUCACCAAGGCAACGAUCCGUAGCUGGUCUGAGAGGAUGAUCAGCCACAUCGGGACUGAGACACGGCCCGAACUCCUACGGGAGGCAGCAGUGGGGAAUAUUGGACAAUGGGGGCAACCCUGAUCCAGCCAUGCCGCGUGUGUGAAGAAGGCCCUCGGGUUGUAAAGCACUUUCAGCGAGGAAGAACGCCUAGUGGUUAAUACCCAUUAGGAAAGACAUCACUCGCAGAAGAAGCACCGGCUAACUCCGUGCCAGCAGCCGCGGUAAUACGGAGGGUGCAAGCGUUAAUCGGAAUUACUGGGCGUAAAGCGCGCGUAGGUGGCUUGAUAAGCCGGUUGUGAAAGCCCCGGGCUCAACCUGGGAACGGCAUCCGGAACUGUCAGGCUAGAGUGCAGGAGAGGAAGGUAGAAUUCCCGGUGUAGCGGUGAAAUGCGUAGAGAUCGGGAGGAAUACCAGUGGCGAAGGCGGCCUUCUGGACUGACACUGACACUGAGGUGCGAAAGCGUGGGUAGCAAACAGGAUUAGAUACCCUGGUAGUCCACGCCGUAAACGAUGUCGACCAGCCGUUGGGUGCCUAGA